This 237-nucleotide long non-coding RNA is filed under the name Phoenix dactylifera (date palm). Its description in RNAcentral is "long non-coding RNA (PDAC_LNC008712)". The record is from RNAcentral. Lineage: Eukaryota; Viridiplantae; Streptophyta; Magnoliopsida; Arecales; Arecaceae.
CCUUGUUCCUUCUCUAGUAUCCACCCCUGAAGCCUCAAUUAGAGCUAAAAAUCUUGAGCUUGCCAUGGAAGAUUUCACUUUUGAUUGGCCAUGAGAUCUCACUGGUGGCAAGGUAAGGUUUCUAAACUUCUCUCUCUCCUCCUUUCUUUUAAUUUGGGCCAUUCAUUCCUUUUGAUUAGAGCUGGCAAGUCAUCAAAAUCUACUCGAAACAGGGGUGCUUUGUUUCAGUUUUUCUUC